AGAGCGAACGCUGGCGGCAGGCCUAACACAUGCAAGUCGAGCGCGUGUAGCAAUACACGAGCGGCAGACGGGAGAGUAACACGUGGGAACGCGCCCUUCGGUUCGGAAUAACUCAGGGAAACUUGAGCUAAUACCGGAUACGCCCUUACGGGGGAAAGAUUUAUUGCCGAAGGAACGGCCCGCGUCCGAUUAGCUAGUUGGUGAGGUAACGGCUCACCAAGGCGACGAUCGGUAGCUGGUCUGAGAGGAUGACCAGACUCACUGGGACUGAGACACGGCCCAGACUCCUACGGGAGGCAGCAGUGGGGAAUAUUGGACAAUGGGCGCAAGCCUGAUCCAGCCAUGCCGCGUGGAUGAUGAAGGCCUUAGGGUUGUAAAGUCCUUUUAACGGGGAAGAUAAUGACGGUACCCGUAGAAUAAGCCCCGGCUAACUUCGCGCCAGCAGCCGC
Molecule: ribosomal RNA, 449 nt
Filed under: uncultured bacterium
Lineage: Bacteria
Description: SSU rRNA
Rfam family: Bacterial small subunit ribosomal RNA
Source: RNAcentral